RNAcentral lists this ribosomal RNA (1465 nucleotides) under bacterium TLCL17. Its description in RNAcentral is "partial 16S ribosomal RNA". It matches the Rfam family "Bacterial small subunit ribosomal RNA". The record is from RNAcentral.
GGGGAGAUCGAGCUUCCUGCAGUCGAACGGCAGCACGGAGCUUGCUCUGGUGGCGAGUGGCGAACGGGUGAGUAAUAUAUCGGAACGUACCCUGGAGUGGGGGAUAACGUAGCGAAAGUUACGCUAAUACCGCAUACGAUCUAAGGAUGAAAGUGGGGGAUUCCCAGAACCCUCGUGCUCGUGGAGCGCCCUAUCUCAGAUUAUCUAUGUGGUGGGGUAAACCCCCACCGGGGUCUCUAUCAAUCUGUGGUCAGAGAAGAACACCCCCCACUGUGGCUCUGACACACGGCCCACACUCCUACGGGAGGCCACUGUGGAAAUUUUUGCACUGUGGGCGCGCCCCAGAUCCCACUGUGCCGCGAGAGUGAAAAGCGUCCUCGUUGUGUAAAUCUCUUUUGUCGGGAAAAACACGGUGAGAUCUAAUCUCUCCUGCUAGUGACGGCCCCUGAAAAAUACACCCCGUAUAUCUACGUGCCCACCCCCGCGAAUACACAUAGGGCGCACGCGUUUCUCAAAUUUACUGCGCAUAAAGCGCGCGCACGCGGUUGUGUAACUCAGAUGAGAUCUCCCCGGUCUCCCCCUGAAAAGUGCUUUGGACACUGCAGCGCUAAUCUCUGGCAGAGGGGUAUAGAACUCCACGUGUCACAGUGAUGUGCAUAUAUAUGUAGAAGCACCCCUAUGGAAAGCGCCCCCCUCUGUCACGAUAGUGACUCUCGUGCACGAACGCGUGGAGCGCACACGAGAAUAUACCCUCUGAUACUCCACGCCCUACAAUAUCUCUACUAUGUCUCGGCUCAUAUGUCACGUGAACACACCUCUCACGCGAGAAAUACAGCCUCUGGAGAAUACGGUCGCAAGAUUAAAACUCAAAGGAAUUGACGGGGACCCGCACAAGCGGUGGAUGAUGUGGAUUAAUUCGAUGCAACGCGAAAAACCUUACCUACCCUUGACAUGGCUGGAAUCCCCGAGAGAUUGGGGAGUGCUCGAAAGAGAACCAGUACACAGGUGCUGCAUGGCUGUCGUCAGCUCGUGUCGUGAGAUGUUGGGUUAAGUCCCGCAACGAGCGCAACCCUUGUCAUUAGUUGCUACGAAAGGGCACUCUAAUGAGACUGCCGGUGACAAACCGGAGGAAGGUGGGGAUGACGUCAAGUCCUCAUGGCCCUUAUGGGUAGGGCUUCACACGUCAUACAAUGGUACAUACAGAGCGCCGCCAACCCGCGAGGGGGAGCUAAUCGCAGAAAGUGUAUCGUAGUCCGGAUUGUAGUCUGCAACUCGACUGCAUGAAGUUGGAAUCGCUAGUAAUCGCGGAUCAGCAUGUCGCGGUGAAUACGUUCCCGGGUCUUGUACACACCGCCCGUCACACCAUGGGAGCGGGUUUUACCAGAAGUAGGUAGCUUAACCGCAAGGAGGGCGCUUACCACGGUAGGAUUCGUGACUGGGGGAAGUCGANCAGUAGCUCAUCAAA